Gallus gallus (chicken) is the source of this 2723-nucleotide long non-coding RNA. NCBI's taxonomy places the organism in Eukaryota, Metazoa, Chordata, Aves, Galliformes, Phasianidae. The record is from Ensembl.
CAAAGUGCUAUUUUCUUGGCUGGAAAAUAUUGACUUUGAGGUUAGGGUCUUCAAAUGUGUUCAGCAUUUGCCAGCCCUUCUGUUGAAGCCUGUGGCAAUAAUCCUAUUGAUCGCAGUGGGAGUGGAAUUCAUGGGAAGAGAAAAUAAAGGGAAGGCUUGGAAAUCCUGCUCUGAGCGUUUUAUGACUCAGAUGUCAGAGGAAAUGUGAUGUAAUGCAGUGUCAAAGGCGCCCUGAAACCUUUCAUGAACAAUUUUUUAAAUACAAAUUGACCUUUUAAAUAGAUUAACGUUUAUUGAAGCAAAAGAUCUAUUAUUGUGAAGAUAUGGGGGGUUGAAUCGCUCCUCGCAAGGUGCUGGAACAAACCCCAGAAUGUUGAAUUUACUUGCUGGGGGGCAAAACUUCACCCAAGUGGAUGUACUUUGGAAUAUGGAAUGGGGUUCUUAGCUUUGCUACCAUCUCCCCUGGAGUGUGGUGGCCCAGCGCUCACCUCUUUGUAUUGGAACACUUGCAUCAGGAAGACGUGUUUAUGGAGGGGACAUCACCAAGGCAAAUGUCCAUUCGUCUUACUGCGAGAUCGCACUUUAACUGUGGAGCUGAAAGAUGUUCUUCUUGUGGGGAAAAAAGGAGAUUUUCCUGCUCUCUGCACAAAGAAGAGUCCAUGAAAACCUUCUGUAGUUCUUCAUCCCUCUGGGUUCGUGGGCCUCCUUCAGUGCUUCCUCCACAACCUCUGCAAGAUGGCUAGCUGGGUGGAAUAAUGAAAGCUGAAAGAUCCCUGCUGUUCUUUGAGUCAGCACGAAUACAGAAAGUUUAAUUCUCGUCCAAAAUUUGCUCUGUAUUUUUUUUUUUUUGAACUCUAUAGUAAAAUUUUCUGUGGAAGUCUUCAAAGAUUUUAUUUUUCCCUGCUUGAUCUGUGAAAGCAACAACAAAAAGAAGCUACUUAGAAAUUCAAAUGCUCGGAUUUGUGGCUGCAAUUAAUGCUGUGACAGAUGGCUGCGGCUGGGAUGGAGCCGUUCCUUUCCCUGCUCAGAAGAGGGCAAUCAGCAAAACCUCAGGGCAGCUCCAAGGGACAUGAGAGUCUUGCUUUACACACGCACAGAGCAGCCCUGGAAGGAGUGAAAUGAAGAACUGUCAAGGAAAGUUGGAGGAGUUGUGCUGUCCCAAGCGUGCAGGCACGGUGCUUGUAAAACCACAGGGUGUGAGCGUGGUAUUAGCAAGCCUUUGUGUCAUCUCCAGGGGAGAGCUGAGUCCCAUUGAAGGCAGAGGACAGACGUCAUUCAGAGUUCGCUUCCUCUGCAUCAGAGAUGGCAAAAAGUAAUAUAAACACAGGAGAAGGAGAAGAAAGAAGAAAUAGAGACGUUGGAAGCAAUGUGCAGUACGGAUUUCCUGACGGGAUAUUUCAGGAGCCCUGUCACUGAGCCCUAGGGCCUGCAGCAGGAUGGAGGGCUGAGGAUGGAUUUGUUUAAAAGGCAGAAGCCCUGCAGCCAAGACACCCAAACCCUGCUCAUUGCCUUGGCCUUGCUGCAGCAGGUAGCCAAGCAGCUGGCUGUGUGAGUGUGCGGCGCGUGGCUCAGCACAACCUGUGCUCCAGAGGACGUCCAGGAGAGAUUAGCAGUGAUGGAAUAAGCCAGAUAGAUGGCAGAAUUCGAAGCAUAUUUGGUUUGAACCUCUGAGAUGCGGAGCUGUGCUGUGGAAUGCCAAAGCAAAGCUGUCCCAGAAUUGACCUGAAACAACAUCUUCUAAGUUCUGCUGUAGUUCUGCAAGGUCAGUCCACAGGUUUUCAUUUGCUCCACGGCCUGUGUUUGGUUUAGUUGGGUUUUUUCCCCUCUAAAAAGCAAACUGUGAAAUGAAUAUUGAGCCUCAUGGGUUCUGAAAUACUUCACUGUUUCCUAUUUUGCAGUCAUGAGGACCCUUUUUGCCCCAUGAAAGUGGGGUCUGUUAUCUGGUCCAAACAAAGCAGUUCUGCAUUAUUCUGACGGCCAAAACAUAAUCAUGAAGUGAGCUGAAAUCAGAUUUUCUUCAGUGGAUUACCAAGAGGCAAAUUUAAAAUGAUAUUACAAAUAAUACCUCAUAAUUGCAAUGUGAAUGAUGAGCCCCCUUAAUCAUGCCUCCAGCUAUGUUUGUUAAUAAGAAAACAAUGUAGAGCAGUGUUGUGACAUUUUUCUCAUUAUUUUUAAUGUAGCCCUCAGUUUUCAGGCCACAUUUUCAGCUGGAGCAAAUAGCCUUCAUCGCCUCCAAUACAAAUAGGCUGCUUUGCACCAGCCAAGUCUCUGACCUGGUUUUGCUUUAAAAAAAACUCUUCACCCCCAAAAGUAGGGAAGGAGAGCAGACCUUCAGAAUGCGGAAUUCUGGUUCAUUUCAAUUAAAACUCCGUGCAUUAAUCAUGUAUUUGACACGCUGGACGUUCCUAAUUAACAUCCAGCUUUAAACCACAUGUGCUUCAGCCUGUGUUCAAAUGAUGGAGCUGCACAGGUAACGUCAGGAAAACCGUGAGCAGAUGGCAGAGCACAGCUGAGUGGAAAUUUGGGUGAGGUGUUUGUCCAUGCUAAGCAAAGCUGAGGCCUGAGAAGCAGUAGUGGCAUGGGGCAGGGCUGUGGCCAGCACAGUGGGGAUGUGAGCGUGUCCCACCAGUUGGGUGCCAGCACCAGGGUCCUGGGCUGGAGGAAGGAUCAUAGAAUCAUAGAAUGGCCUGGGUUGAAAAGGACCACAAUGCUCAUCCAGUUCC